This is a long non-coding RNA of Neogale vison (American mink), 258 nucleotides long. RefSeq lists it as uncharacterized. The transcript is spliced from 2 exons. NCBI's taxonomy places the organism in Eukaryota, Metazoa, Chordata, Mammalia, Carnivora, Mustelidae. The record is from RefSeq and is a predicted model, not a curated record.
UUAGAGAAUAAUGGACUUUGGAUAUGGAAUUGCCCCUAGCUGAACCUGGCUAGCAAUUCUUGGUGUUUCCGUUUGAAGAGAGGAACAAAGCAGAUGAUCAGAUCAGACAUCGUUGAAACAAAGGUUAUGAUGACGUCCCAGAUGAACUCUAAGGUCUUUUCUGACCUGAACUUCUGUGAAUUUAUAUUUUCAAAUCCUCUCCAAAAAAACCAGAAAACUUCAAGUUUAAAGAGUUGUGUAAUAACUGUGAGGCACAAG